RNAcentral lists this ribosomal RNA (492 nucleotides) under uncultured bacterium. RNAcentral describes it as "partial 16S ribosomal RNA". It matches the Rfam family "Bacterial small subunit ribosomal RNA", at positions 29 to 507 of the family's 1533-position model. The record is from RNAcentral.
AGUGAACGCUGGCGGUAGGCCUAACACAUGCAAGUCGAACGGCAGCACAGUAAGAGCUUGCUCUUACGGGUGGCGAGUGGCGGACGGGUGAGGAAUACAUCGGAAUCUACUUUUUCGUGGGGGAUAACGUAGGGAAACUUACGCUAAUACCGCAUACGACCUACGGGUGAAAGCAGGGGAUCUUCGGACCUUGCGCGAUUGAAUGAGCCGAUGUCGGAUUAGCUAGCUGGCGGGGUAAAGGCCCACCAAGGCGACGAUCCGUAGCUGGUCUGAGAGGAUGAUCAGCCACACUGGAACUGAGACACGGUCCAGACUCCUACGGGAGGCAGCAGUGGGGAAUAUUGGACAAUGGGCGCAAGCCUGAUCCAGCCAUACCGCGUGGGUGAAGAAGGCCUUCGGGUUGUAAAGCCCUUUUGUUGGGAAAGAAAAGCAGCAGGUUAAUACCCCGCUGUUCUGACGGUACCCAAAGAAUAAGCACCGGCCAACUUCGUG